GUCCACCAUUAUGACAACUAUAUUUCAUUUACCUGAGAAGAGGGCCAAAUUUUAAACUUCCUGCCUACUAUUUUGAAGAACUAGAGGAUUCUAAGGCAGCCCAGCCAAAGAGUAGAUCUGAAAAGUGAGAAAAGGAAGAAAAUCCAAUAAUAAUUCAUCACAUAUUCUAAUACACUUCAGCCAAAGAUUAAAGGAACCAUGCCAGUUGCUGCGACUGCACACAGAGAACGAAGAAAUCCUCUACGAGCCCCAUGGGUUUACAGAAGUCUAUCAAUCACCCUGUCAGUCUUCCGAAUCAUUAUUCAAGUUGCUAUCCCCAAUUUUGUGGGAUAUAUCAGACCAGCUCCAGCUCCAUAGAUGGACAGUGUGUUUUCUUCCUAUUUUUAAAGACAGCAAAGUGGAAAACUGGUGAAUAUUAUAGGGACACACUGAAAAGUGCAUUGUUACUAUGGCAAUAAAAAAGAGAACAAA
Talpa occidentalis (Iberian mole) is the source of this 471-nucleotide long non-coding RNA. RefSeq lists it as uncharacterized. The record is from RefSeq and is a predicted model, not a curated record. Lineage: Eukaryota; Metazoa; Chordata; Mammalia; Eulipotyphla; Talpidae. The transcript has 3 exons.